RNAcentral lists this long non-coding RNA (206 nucleotides) under Musa acuminata (dwarf banana). Its description in RNAcentral is "long non-coding RNA (MACU_LNC008720)". Lineage: Eukaryota; Viridiplantae; Streptophyta; Magnoliopsida; Zingiberales; Musaceae. The record is from RNAcentral.
GUGGGACCACAUACAUAAUGUGAUUCAUCCAUUUCUAGAUGACCACCAAGCACAAGUCUCCCACGUUUGGGAGCUCCAUCCACCCACGUCUGAGUGAAGUCAAUGGGGCCGGCAGAGCAAUCGCGAGCUCUAAGCAUAACUCCCUUUACCAUUUCUGGCAAAGGUUCACAAUAUCCCACAAGACACCAGAGUACAAAAGGGUAGUA